CUAAAACACCAAAUUUUAUAAAUUUUAAAUAAACAUAAUUUAAAUAGCUACAUGUGGCUGGUGUCUACCAUAUUUAGAGAGUACAGGUCUAUUCCAAGGAACAGAAUUAUUAGAUAAUCAGGUAUGCAUAUUUAAGCAUUACUAGCUAAUGUAGAAUUGCUCUCCAGAAUAGACUCCAAUGUUUGUUUUCAACUGCCUGUAAUAUGCAAUGAUCUAUUUCCCCAUCUCCUUGGCUAUAUACUUAGUUUUAUUAGUUUAUACAUUUUUUAGAUAAUUUGAUGAGUAUAAAAUUGUAUCUCAUUAACGGUUGAUUUGUAAUUCCCUUUGUGGUGCUGUAAUACUCAUACAUCUAUCAAGGACUCUUUUUUCCUCCCUUUAAAAUUAUCUACUUAUUUUUUCUUUGUAAGCGUCAUCUUUUUUUCAUUGUGGGAGUUCUUCAUAAACUUGUCAUUUUACUUGAUAAAAGGUCAUACUUAAAAGUCUGAGGCUUCUCAUUCACUUGAAUCUGUAGUCUUUUGUUACAUAGUUGUUUAAAUUUUUGAUACAUAUCUAUAUUUUCCCUCAUUGUUUCAAGUGUUAGUGCCUUUCCUAAGGAACCUUUUCUUAUUAUGAUGUCACAAAUGUAUUCUGCUAUGUCUACUGGGAGAAUACACUAGUGGGGAUAGUUCUGUGUAUACAGUGAUUAAGCACAUAGGUUCUGGAGCCAGUCUGUUUCUUUCAAAAUCACCUCAUUGCUUUUGAAGAAUCAGGGAAACCCCCAUGAGACUACAGGUGUGAAGCAAGAUAGAAGCAUCAGUGCAAAAGAGUACUGCAUUUCCAAAUAAAGCCACUCACAAUCUUUAAUCAGGCUGUAAAUUUUAAGAAAUCUGGACCAAGACAGUUUGCUCCAAGAGUAUCCCACAAAUGCAGAUCUUCAGAGUGAGAUUUUAUUAUUGGAUUGCUCACCUGUCUGUUGGUAAGUGAGAUGACAAUAACAAAGUGAAGAUGAUAAUAACUUGACAUGCAGUGGUACCACAAUUGUUAAACACUGGCCUAUGGUUAAUUGUGAACAAGGCUUGGGGAAAUCAAAUGGGUACAUCAUUUGAUCACUGUGGAGACAAUGAUACUUAUGAAGAUUGUAAUUUCAGAUG
RNAcentral lists this long non-coding RNA (1130 nucleotides) under Homo sapiens (human). Its description in RNAcentral is "HSALNT0341888". The record is from RNAcentral. Lineage: Eukaryota; Metazoa; Chordata; Mammalia; Primates; Hominidae.